ACGCUCGACACCUACGGGAGGCAGCAGUGGGGAAUAUUGCACAAUGGGGGAAACCCUGAUGCAGCGACGCCGCGUGGAGGAAGAAGGUCUUCGGAUUGUAAACUCCUGUUGUUGGGGAAAAAGAGGAUGGUACCCAACAAGGAAGUGACGGCUAACUACGUGCCGGCGACGCCGNGUAUCNGNGGCGGNGUGAGAG
This 196-nucleotide ribosomal RNA is filed under the name uncultured bacterium. Its description in RNAcentral is "partial 16S ribosomal RNA". It matches the Rfam family "Bacterial small subunit ribosomal RNA", at positions 328 to 537 of the family's 1533-position model. The record is from RNAcentral.